This 437-nucleotide unclassified non-coding RNA is filed under the name Hevea brasiliensis (rubber tree). The record is from RNAcentral. Lineage: Eukaryota; Viridiplantae; Streptophyta; Magnoliopsida; Malpighiales; Euphorbiaceae.
AGCUUUUGCAUAACAGGUCAAUAGCAUUUGCCUACCCCCAAGGCAUAAAUGGCAUUUGAAUCAAAUCAUAAAGAACAAAGCAAAUGCGUAAUCUCCAACGCUAAGUAAAUAGAGAUAUAAUCUACAAAGUGUGUCUAUCCAAUAUCCAUAGAGCUCAAAAAAAUGUUCUAUGAAUGAUUGCAAUGACAAACAGUUUUGAUUUAUUACCAGGUAUACUGAAUGUCAUCAUCUCUAGCCGCCGUUGUUGUAGAUUUAUACUCCCACUCUCACUCUCACUUGAAAGUAUAUUACCAGGUAUACUGAAUGUCAUCAUCUCUAGCCGCCGUUGUUGUAGAUUUAUACUCCCACUCUCACUCUCACUUGAAAGUAUAAAUCUGCAACAGAGGCGGCUAGAGAUGAUAACAUACAAUGCGUGUGUGUACAGAAAACAAAAAUUG